Molecule: ribosomal RNA, 250 nt
Filed under: uncultured bacterium
Lineage: Bacteria
Description: partial 16S ribosomal RNA
Rfam family: Bacterial small subunit ribosomal RNA
Source: RNAcentral
AACGUAGGUGGCAAGCGUUAUCCGGAUUCACUGGGCGUAAAGCGCACGCAGGCGGCCGGGCCGGUAGGGCAUGAAAUCUCCUGGCUUAACUGGGAGGGGUUGUCCUAUACCGCUCGGCUUGAGGAUAGGAGAGGGGAGUGGAAUUGCCGGUGUAGUGGUGAAAUGCGUAGAGAUCGGCAGGAACACCAGUGGCGAAGGCGGCUCCCUGGCCUACUCCUGACGCUCAGGUGCGAAAGCUAGGGGAGCGAAC